CAAGUCGUACGAAGACCUUCGGUCUUAGUGGCGGACGGGUGAGUAACACGUGAGAAUCUGCCCUUAGGAAGAGAAUAACAAUUGGAAACGGUUGCUAAUACUCUAUAUGCCGAGAGGUAAAAGGACUUAUCCACCUUAGGAAGAGCUCGCGUCUGAUUAGCUAGUUGGUAAGGUAAUGGCUUACCAAGGCGACGAUCAGUAGCUGGUUUGAGAGGACGACCAGCCACACUGGGACUGAGACACGGCCCAGACUCCUACGGGAGGCAGCAGUGGGGAAUUUUCCGCAAUGGGCGAAAGCCUGACGGAGCAAUACCGCGUGAGGGAUGACGGCCUGUGGGUUGUAAACCUCUUUUCUCAAGGAAGAAGUUCUGACGGUACUUGAGGAAUAAGCAUCGGCUAACUCUGUGCCAGCAGCCGCGGUAAUACAGAGGAUGCAAGCGUUAUCCGGAAUCACUGGGCAUAAAGCGUCUGUAGGUUGCUUGCCAAGUCUGCUGUUAAAGACUAGGGCCUAACCCUGGGAAAGCAGUGGAAACUAGCAGGCUUGAGUGUGGUAGAGGUAGAGGGAAUUCCUGGUGUAGCGGUGAAAUGCGUAGAUAUUAGGAAGAACACCAAUGGCGAAAGCACUCUGCUGGGCCACAACUGACACUGAGAGACGACAGCUAGGGGAGCAAAUGGGAUUAGAUACCCCAGUAGUCCUAGCCGUAAACGAUGGAUACUAGGUGUUGCACGUAUUAACCCGUGCAGUAUCGUAGCUAAGGCGUUAAGUAUCCCGCCUGGGAAAGUACGCUCGCAAGAGUGAAACUCAAGGGAAUUUGACGG
RNAcentral lists this ribosomal RNA (819 nucleotides) under uncultured bacterium. Its description in RNAcentral is "bacterial SSU rRNA". It matches the Rfam family "Bacterial small subunit ribosomal RNA", at positions 58 to 916 of the family's 1533-position model. The record is from RNAcentral.